UCGUCCAUGGGGUGGCCUGCCUAUCAAGACAGAGGCGUGGCCCGACAUCGUUAUUGCUCAAAUUCAGUGCGUUUCUCGCAACGGAUUACUGGGAAGAUGAAGCAAUGGCCCUCUUUCCUCUCCAUCAGUACAAUUUUACAGGCUAAUCAACUCGAUGGGCACCUUAGAAAGGUACACAGCCAUGUACGUAUCCGUGAAUCUGAAGCCUUUCAGGGUGUACAGGGUGUACACGUUCUGAAUUUCACAAAGCUACUACUAAUUGCUGUUGGUAAAAACAAACUGGGCUAUGCAUGUCACUCAACAAAGUAUCCUCUUGUACAUAGAAACAUCACAACUACUGACAAAUGCACUGUAUUGUUAUUCUAAGCGUGUUUUGGUGAAAUAUUUGAAUCUUGCUUCAUAGAAAUACACUACUGUCUAAGUUAAUCCACUACAACCAUAUCUGAUAUUGACCAACUACAUCCUGAUCUAAUACAGGCAGAAUCAGGGACCAAAGGAUCAUCUCUUACCGAUGCAUAACCUGUAGAACUCUAUUACCUACAUAAGCUGAUCAACUACAUCCUUGUGUAAUACAAGAUAAUAAAUCAUAAAUCAGCGGACCAUAUGUUCCCGAUGCGAAUGCCUCCUUUUGCGUUGUCCGUUUGAUCAUUAGUAUUUAUUUUCAUCAUUAUGCUAGCAAUCAUGUUCUGAAAUUGCCAACUGCAGUACUGCUCUGCCUACAUCGUAAUAUACAAUGCCUCGCCUAUAAAGUUUGAAGAAUCUUAAAAUAUUUGUUAUACUGGAUCUGCUGCAGAGAGGUUAUCACUCUUCUACGCUGAGCAUGCCGACAGGAGCUUCUUCAACAGUCUGGUGAAGCACACCAUUUUGGGUAUGUAUAAGCCAGCACUGAAUUUUCCUACAUAGCAUGUCAUGGUUCCAAUCAAGUGAAAAGUAACUUUGCAUGAUCAUAGACCUCACUAUACUAUUGUUAUUAUAUUCAUGCGUCUUUAUGGAUAAUCUUUUUGGGUAUUAAUAUGGGAAAAUAAAAGCAGAAUCAACAGUGUGUUUUUACUGCCAUGAUAAACUUUGAUAUAUAGUUUUGAUCUACCCACAUGUUCCAUUAUCUGAAGAAUGGUAUAUGGCUAUAUAGAUUCCACUGGAGAGAAUACAUUAUUCAAUUCCCCCAUGUCAAUGUUAAAUAAUCAUGUAAAGGGAAAGAUAAUAAAAGUGAAAGUGAGUCUAAUGAUAGAAAUUAGUAAGAAAAUGAGAAGUUGAAAACAAAUAAUAUAUAGACUCCAACACUGUCCGCCAAACAAAGAAAAUGAAAAGUUCCUGUUUAUUUCUUGUCACCUAUUUGUUAUAUCUAACAGUAGCAUUUUAUAGAUCAAUUCCUCGCAUAGACCCGCAUUGAGGGAGGAGGACGCAGAGGCCGACAACAAGGAGCGGGUGUGGGUGUUCAUCCUCGCCACUGACCACAAGUGCUGCGAUAAAUUUUGAGAAGAAUUCUAUGCCUCCACUGGUAUGAGCAAAUCACCCGUUGAUUCCUUCUCUCUGUCCAUUGCCUGUUGAAGUAGCUAAUAGAUUGCUUCAGAAUGUUGUGAGCUUGGUUAUUUUACACCGUCUGCUAAUGUUAAGCAAAGAAUGAAGGCUGGAGUGUGUUACAUGUACUCCCUCCGUCCGGAAAUAUUUGUCGCAGAAAUGCAUAAAAAUGGAUGUAUCUAGAACUAAAAUACAUCUAGAUACAUCCAUUCCUUCGACAAGUAUUUUCGGACGGAGGGAGUACGCAACAACGUUUUACUUAGAUGUAGUAGAUGAUUGAUUACAAAACAACUAUCCAUAAAUUGGUGCAUUCUGUUUUGCAAAAUGAUCAGGUGGUGGUUAAGCUGGUAUCUUGAUCGCGGCAGAAUACUACAUCUCCAGUGUUCAGUGUCAAAGCAAAAGGAUAAUAUACAUAAGUAAUCUACCAAAAGGAAAAGUAAUCUAACCAACAAGUAAUUCUCCGUUACCACGAGUUGACCAUGGCUAUGCCAGAAACAAGGAGAGAAUAGAAAACCUCAAUAGCAAUGAUGCUGCUACUAUUUCCAUUUCUUAAACAUUAGUUAGGAGUUCAUCUAAUUGGAGUCCAGCUCCAGCUGCCUAAAAAAAGGUAAAAGGAGCAAACAGACACAAAAUAAAUGAAACUAAGAGAGAACUAAACCGCAAAAUAAAAUUGGGACGUUGUGUGUUUCUGCUUUGGGGCCGCAUGAAUCCAUUAUGGAUUAAAAGCAUUCUAUAAGCCAAAUUCCAUGCCUUCUACAGAGGGAGUACUGCCCAUGGGCUCUCUAUAGUUGAAUUUGUCAAUUAAGUAGAUGCUUUAAUUAACUUGUAAGUAAAUAGACGAACCAUAUUUUGUUUGAACUAAGCAGUUGCUGCUAAUAUAAUUCUCUCCAGCAAUAUCAGUUUCGGAUAAUAUAAUCUGCAUAUUACUUUCUAUGUGUUUAAGCAUGUUCAAACUCGGUACAAAUGUAAUAAUGGAUAUAUUUUGAUUUGAUAACUUGAUGUCUUAAUUGUUCUGGCUAGAUCCUGGACCUUAUGAUAUCUACCUAUAACCAGUGAUACGUUUCUGCCUUUUGGCUGGAUGUCUACUUCUUCUCUCAAGGCCACAGUAGCCAGUAGGUGCGGGCAGGUGUGGCUAGGAAGAAGGUCCCGGAGGCAGCGGACUGGACAUCGGGUGUGAGCGGCCGAAGAGACUGGGACCGGCGAGUGGCAACAGCUGGCUGGAUGCGGCGGGAUGAGCCGGUAGAAGAAAGCAGGUAAGCAGCGGCGGCCUACAUGUCUAUGGUUGGUACAUGCCGCCAUCUAAAACACUUACAAUGAACAUCAAUGUUUCUGAGCUUUGCUUGUUGAGCCUGUCGUUGCCAUGUAAGCCAGCCACGAAGUGUUCAGAAAAUAUCUGAAGUUAUAUUCUACAGUAGAAUCUAAUCACCUUAUUGUGGUUGUUUUCUGUGUCAGUCAUUAUUUGGAUAACAUCCUAUUGGAGAAUAUCGGUGAUGUUAAGACAUUGCAAGCAUUAUUUGAACUCGAAGCACUUCUUCUUACAAGUAUGCUCAUUUUAUAAUCGUUUCCUUGGUUGUGGUGGAUUAUUUAGUGAAUAUAAUUCCUUUUUUAGGUCAUUGCAUGAAAAAUAAGAAUACUUAUAUCACUGAAUUACUGGUGAUUUUCUAUCGGAAGCUAGUUCAGUUAGGCGCUUCUAACGUCUUAAGCUCUAUUUCUCUUCAGUUGCCCUUAAUUACCAGAUGUUGGGUAUUUUCUUCCAUGAAACUGCUCUUCAGUUUGAUAUAAUCUGCAGGAGCAAUCCAGGAGCAUGGCGUGUCACCUAUGUCCUAAUCAAGUGUGUAAUCUCCUAUUGAUUUUGCCUACUGAAUUAUAACAAGUUUUGAACUUUGUUGACUGAUUUUCCUUAUCCUGCUUGUUAGCUUUUCAUGUCAUUCUGCACGCUGCUCAUAGUGUGCAUUCCUUGUUAUUUGCUAAUGGUUGUACUGUACAAAGCUUGGUCUGUUAUUGAAACACAUAAGUGCGGCAGCAAAUUCAUAAUGUGCAUUUCUUGUUAUUUACUAAUGGUUGUACUAAACAAAGCAUGGUCGAAACACAUCCUUUAGUGGGGCACACUUAUAUAUGUCGAUUUUUCCUCCAGCUGUGUAUUACAUAUUGUGAUAAUUGUACGAAGGCUGCCAUAAAAGACACACAUGUCUUUAGAUCAGCAAUAUGCCAGGCAAAUAAUGGUCGAAACACAUACCUUAAUUUCUACUCUGUGUUCAGGCCCUAGCAGAGCUUGAACCUUCUUCAACAAAUAAUGGUAACCGAGUCUUAGUCGUCACUGGACCACAAUUCUUGAUAUCCUUCCAUGGACACUGGAAGUAAUAUGAGCUACAGAUAUGCAUCUCAAUGGGGGGUUAUUUCUUUCCUCAACAAGUUAUAGUAUAACAGGAGAGGUAAAGUGAACACACACCUUUGGUUUUAUGGUUCAUAGAACGUCACUGUAAUAUGUUUUAGGCUAAGCCGAAGCGGCGUUGGCACUGAAGAACUUCAGUCUUAUUCUGGAGUCUGAUGCAUUACAAAUUAUUGCUGUAUAUUGAUCUUGUACUCACAUGAAUAGGGUAAUGAUGCUGACCUGUGGCUUCACCUUCCAUGGAAAACUCUGGCACACCUUCCAUGGAAAACUCUGACUUGCCAGGAGGUGGUCGUCGCUUCCAGAGAUCGUCGCCGAUCCAGUAGUCGCUUCAAGAGACCGUCUCUCGAUCUGGUCGUCGCUUCCAGAGAUCGUCGCCCAGCCCGGUCGUCGCUUCCAGGGAUGGGGAUGCCUUCACCAAAUGAGGCAAAAUCUGGCUCGCAGAUAUGGGUCGUCCAUCUGGAAGGUUUCGGUUGUAUACAUGGAAAGAAUCCAACUUGAUAUGUGGAAGGUCUAGGCUGCAUACACGGAAAGACUACGUGAUCAUGAAUUGUGAUAUGAUUUCUACUAUACAUGGAAUACAUGUUAUGUGCAAAAGGAAAAGAAUUUGUUAGGGGUAUCGAUG
RNAcentral lists this long non-coding RNA (4532 nucleotides) under Triticum aestivum (bread wheat). Its description in RNAcentral is "long non-coding RNA (TAES_LNC017921)". The stretch from base 1641 to 1765 matches the Rfam family "MIR1120/MIR1122 microRNA precursor family". Lineage: Eukaryota; Viridiplantae; Streptophyta; Magnoliopsida; Poales; Poaceae. The record is from RNAcentral.